RNAcentral lists this unclassified non-coding RNA (348 nucleotides) under soil metagenome. Its description in RNAcentral is "partial contains 5.8S ribosomal RNA, internal transcribed spacer 2, and large subunit ribosomal RNA". The stretch from base 1 to 120 matches the Rfam family "5.8S ribosomal RNA", at positions 35 to 154 of the family's 154-position model. The record is from RNAcentral.
GAUGAAGAACGUAGUGAAAUGCGAUAAUUAAUGUGAAUUGCAGAAUUCAGUGAACCAUCGAAUCUUUGAACGCACAUUGCGCCCGCUGGAACUCCGGCGGGCACGCCUGUCCGAGCGUCAUUUCAACCCUCAGGCCCCCCUUCGCGGGCGGGCCUGGUGUUGGGGCCCGGCCGCUACCCUGCGGCCGUCCCCUAAAUUCAGUGGCGGCCUCGCCGUGAUCCCUUGCGUAGUAAUGCACCUCGCACCGGAGAGCGCCGUGGCCACGCCGUAAAACCCCCAAUUUUCAAUGGUUGACCUCGGAUCAGGUGGGAAUACCCGCUGAACUUAAGCAUAUCAAUAAGCGGAGGA